GCCCUUGUGGAUCACGGUAGAUCAUCUUCAACAAAUAAAUAGAUGGCGACGGUAUUUGGCGAAGACAAUGUGGGUUCAAUUCCCACCAAGGGCA
Mycena albidolilacea is the source of this 94-nucleotide non-coding RNA. NCBI's taxonomy places the organism in Eukaryota, Fungi, Basidiomycota, Agaricomycetes, Agaricales, Mycenaceae. The record is from the annotation of a GenBank genome assembly.